UACAGAGGUCUCAGGCGUUGUUCGGAUUCAUUGGGCGUAAAGGGUGCGUAGGUGGCGCCGUAAGUCAGGUGUGAAAUUUCGGAGCUUAACUCCGAAACUGCAUUUGAUACUGCGGUGCUUGAGGACUGGAGAGGAGACUGGAAUUCACGGUGUAGCAGUGAAAUGCGUAGAUAUCGUGAGGAAGACCAGUGGCGAAGGCGGGUCUCUGGACAGUUCCUGACACUGAGGCACGAAGGCCAGGGGAGCAAACGGG
This 253-nucleotide ribosomal RNA is filed under the name uncultured bacterium. RNAcentral's name for it is "partial 16S ribosomal RNA". It matches the Rfam family "Bacterial small subunit ribosomal RNA", at positions 524 to 776 of the family's 1533-position model. The record is from RNAcentral.